CUACGGAGGGUGCGAGCGUUAAGCGGAAUUACUGGGCGUAAAGCGUAUGUAGGCGGUUGGUUAAGUUAGAUGUGAAAGCCCCGGGCUUAACCUGGGAACUGCAUUUAAAACUGGCGAACUAGAGUUGAGUAGAGGGGAGUGGAAUUUCAGGUGUAGCGGUGAAAUGCGUAGAGAUCUGAAGGAACACCAGUGGCGAAGGCGACUCCCUGGACUCGAACUGACGCUGAGGUACGAAAGCGUGGGUAGCAAACGGGAUUAGAUACCCCGGUAGUCC
Molecule: ribosomal RNA, 274 nt
Filed under: uncultured bacterium
Lineage: Bacteria
Description: partial 16S ribosomal RNA
Rfam family: Bacterial small subunit ribosomal RNA
Source: RNAcentral